GACGAACGCUGGCGGCGUGCUUAACACAUGCAAGUCGAACGGAAAGGCCCUGCUUUUGUGGGGUGCUCGAGUGGCGAACGGGUGAGUAACACGUGAGUAACCUGCCCUUGACUUUGGGAUAACUUCAGGAAACUGGGGCUAAUACCGGAUAGGAGCUCCUGCUGCAUGGUGGGGGUUGGAAAGUUUCGGCGGUUGGGGAUGGACUCGCGGCUUAUCAGCUUGUUGGUGGGGUAGUGGCUUACCAAGGCUUUGACGGGUAGCCGGCCUGAGAGGGUGACCGGCCACAUUGGGACUGAGGUACGGCCCCGACUCCUACGGGAGGCAGCAGUGGGGAAUCUUGCACAAUGGGCGGAAGCCUGAUGCAGCAACGCCGCGUGCGGGAUGACGGCCUUCAGGUUGUAAACCGCUUUCGCCUGUGACGAAGCGUGAGUGACGGUAAUGGGUAAAGAAGCACCGGCUAACUACGUG
This 468-nucleotide ribosomal RNA is filed under the name uncultured bacterium. RNAcentral's name for it is "partial 16S ribosomal RNA". It matches the Rfam family "Bacterial small subunit ribosomal RNA", at positions 28 to 507 of the family's 1533-position model. The record is from RNAcentral.